Long non-coding RNA from Siniperca chuatsi (mandarin fish), 449 nucleotides. RefSeq lists it as uncharacterized. The record is from RefSeq and is a predicted model, not a curated record. The transcript is spliced from 2 exons. NCBI's taxonomy places the organism in Eukaryota, Metazoa, Chordata, Actinopteri, Centrarchiformes, Sinipercidae.
UCACAAGCCACUGUGAGCGUCCCGGUGAUGAAUAAGCUUCUGUGUUCCUCCAUGUCUGUCGUCUGUCUCAGCGAUCAGCUGAAUUUGGAUCAACUCACAUGUGGACCAACACUGACAGAAAAGAUGGAUGAACCAGCAGGAUGUUUUUCAGGAUGUAUCACCAGCGCUGGCACGGCGCUAAAACGAAGUGUGGAGCUACACAAACACGCAGAGCAGAGGGCGGCGGACGGGAUGAAGCUGGCUCCUUCCCCUAAGCGCCGUAAAACAAUCAGAAAAUAGACGGAACCUUAAGAUCAUGGCUUACAAAUCCUAUAAACACACAGUUCCUAUAACACACAAUGAUGAUGAUAACCAUAUUCAACAUCUGCCAGGACUCAUGCCGACACGCAGCCAUAUGCUCACAGUGCAUGCUGUUGUUUCAUUCACACAAACACACACACACACACACA